UAUUUAUUUACUUAUUUAUUCACAGCUACCUUUCAGAGAGCAGGCACUUGUGCUAGAAAAAGGCUGUGCACCAGAGUUUGGUAAACAUGGCACAGGCUGCCCAGGGCAGUGGGCACAGCCCUGAGUGCAGGAGUUCAGGAAGUAUUUAGGCAACGUUCUCAGAUAUAGGGUUUGAAUGUUGGGUGGUCCCAUGUAGAGCCAGGGAUUGGACUCCAUGGUCCUUAUAGGGCCCUUCCAGCGUGUGAUAUUUUGUGUUUCUGUGCAUGUGGUGUCACCCAGCAAAUUUUGUAAUGCUGGUGUCUUAAUAACUAAUAUUAAUAACUAAUAUUGUUGUUUCUUCUCUGAGUAUUGCUGACUUGGAAAUAAUUGCAAAUAUAUGCUUUUCCAGCAUUCCAGGAUAAUGUAAGCAUUACUAAACGUAAAAAACAGCUAAUUUUGGUAUGUUUCUGUUCCCUUUCUUUCCCAUACCAAGCAUAGAAUUGUGACCCAAAUUAACACGGGAACUGGCAGAAGGGACUGCAUGGCGCCAGCCACUGAGGUUAAUUUUGUGCCAUGUGAUGUGGCAGAUGUCUGAUCUGUUGUUAUUUGACUGGUUUUUGUCAGGUGCUUCCCUCCUCCUGUCAUAAUGCCCAAAGUAAAGCUGGUUUAUGUUCCAAAGGGUUGGUUUGCGUGCAUUUUUAUUUUAGUUUAGUUUUUGAAAGAAGGAAAAAAAAAACAUUUAUUUUCCUUGGGGAUUUAGGGAAUAAGACUUUCUUACUCUUUCUUUGUCCUGAAUUCUUUAAUACUGUGAUCUAGUUUCCUCUUGAGCCUCCCCUAAUGUCCUAUUACAGAGGUCUGUCAUCAAGAGAUCACAAAGGAAGUCAUCACAAGAAGAUCCAUCUUUAGCUAAACUGCUUUGAAGAAGGAAGACAUUCAGGAAUGCACAUGGAGAGGCAAUGCCUCUGCCUCCUGCUUCAGCUUCAGUCAGAUGCUUGUGUUCUCAUGUUGCAGCUUAUGAGCUGCAGAGAGAUGGACAGAAAAUGACGCUUUUACAACAUCUAUGCCAAGGGACAAGAUAAUCUCUAGCCUUCAGCUCUGAAAAACUUCCAAGAUGUAAAGAAUUUCCAGUAUGCAAAUCUUCAAUUUCA
This 1127-nucleotide long non-coding RNA is filed under the name Coturnix japonica (Japanese quail). RNAcentral's name for it is "lncRNA (ENSCJPG00005008621.1)". Lineage: Eukaryota; Metazoa; Chordata; Aves; Galliformes; Phasianidae. The record is from RNAcentral.